GAUGAACGCUAGCGGCAGGCUUAAUACAUGCAAGUCGAGGGGCAGCACGAGUAGCAAUACUUGGUGGCGACCGGCGCACGGGUGCGUAACGCGUAUGCAACCUACCUUUAACUGGGGAAUAGCUCGGAGAAAUUCGGAUUAAUACCCCAUAGUAUAUUUGAAUGGCAUCAUUUGAUUAUUAAAGAUUUAUCGGUAAAAGA
This 200-nucleotide ribosomal RNA is filed under the name uncultured bacterium. RNAcentral's name for it is "partial 16S ribosomal RNA". It matches the Rfam family "Bacterial small subunit ribosomal RNA", at positions 28 to 225 of the family's 1533-position model. The record is from RNAcentral.